RNAcentral lists this unclassified non-coding RNA (383 nucleotides) under Hevea brasiliensis (rubber tree). Lineage: Eukaryota; Viridiplantae; Streptophyta; Magnoliopsida; Malpighiales; Euphorbiaceae. The record is from RNAcentral.
AAAACAAAUAGAGGUGUCAGUCUAACUGGAUAGAUAAUGUCCAAUAAAAUAUCCUUGAUUGUGAACUAGAGCAAAAUGAAUCAAAGAAAUUAAUAGACUCAAAACCCCUAUUUGGCAUUCAAAAGAAAAUUGGUAUAGAAGAAGAACAAAGAAACACAGCAACAAUAAUCAAAAGACUCCAAAGAAACCGAAACACAAAAAUCAGGAUGAAAUGAAAAGAAUCACUAUGAACCAAACAUCAUGAACCGAAAAUAAAUAGAAGAUAAACAAGCCCGUUGUCAAGAGCCAAUGUUUUGAUACCAAAAUGAUGUGAAUCCCAAUGGACUUGCCUUGAAACCCACAAUCAAAUUGAUGUUUAUUACCCAAGAAAGCUCAAAAUCAGA